GCGGAAAUAGCUCAGCGGUAGAGCAUCGCCUUGCCAAGGCGAGGGUCGGGAGUUCGAAUCUCCUUUUCCGCU
This is a transfer RNA of Pelosinus sp., 72 nucleotides long. It matches the Rfam family "tRNA". Rfam says of the family: Transfer RNA (tRNA) molecules are approximately 80 nucleotides in length. Their secondary structure includes four short double-helical elements and three loops (D, anti-codon, and T loops). The record is from Rfam. NCBI's taxonomy places the organism in Bacteria, Bacillati, Bacillota, Negativicutes, Selenomonadales, Sporomusaceae.